UACGGAAGGCAGCAGUGGGGAAUAUUGCACAAUGGGCGCAAGCCUGAUGCAGCCAUGCCGCGUGUAUGAAGAAGGCCUUCGGGUUGUAAAGUACUUUCAGUCGUGAGGAAGGUGUUAAGGUUAAUAACCUUAGCAAUUGACGUUAGCGACAGAAGAAGCACCGGCUAACUCCGUGCCAGCAGCCGCGGUAAUACGGAGGGUGCGAGCGUUAAUCGGAAUUACUGGGCGUAAAGGGCACGCAGGCGGUUAAUUAAGUUGGAUGUGAAAUCCCCGGGCUUAACCUGGGAAUGGCAUUCAAGACUGGUUAGCUAGAGUCUUGUAGAGGGGGUAGAAUUCCAUGUGUAGCGGUGAAAUGCGUAGAGAUGUGGAGGAAUACCGGGUGGCGAAGGCGGCCCCUGGGACAAAGACUGACGCUCAUGUGCGAAAAGCGUGGGGAGCGAAAACAGGGAUUAGAUACC
Molecule: ribosomal RNA, 458 nt
Filed under: uncultured bacterium
Lineage: Bacteria
Description: bacterial SSU rRNA
Rfam family: Bacterial small subunit ribosomal RNA
Source: RNAcentral